Bos taurus (domestic cattle) is the source of this 531-nucleotide long non-coding RNA. The record is from Ensembl. Lineage: Eukaryota; Metazoa; Chordata; Mammalia; Artiodactyla; Bovidae.
GUCCGGGACAGACGGCGAGGGCGCUUCCCCUGCAGCCAGCCGGAAGGAUGGGGCUCUGGAGGGGCUGAGCCGGCGGUGAUCCUGGCGGGCAGCCUGCAUGCCGGGGGCUUCUCACCUCGCCGGGCUGUGCACACCUCGGGUGCCAGGCCCCGCCCUCGGAUCCCCGGAUCCUCGCUCUUGGGGGGAUUCUCAUGACUUCAGAAGCCUUGACGCCCAGGGGUGGUGGGCACAGCCACAGAGAGGCAGCAAGUGGAAUUCUGGGCAAUUCUGCCUCUCCCAGCUCCUUCUGUGCAGUGGUGCUCACCGCAGGCCUGGCUUGCCCUGCUCCACACAUGCUAGCAGCAGACGGCACUUCUUCCACCCAUACGAUGCUCAAUGGGACAGAAAGACGGUGUGGAGAGAGCAGUGCUCCCCCAAAUAACCCAGGACUGAGGAAAGUGUGAUAAUCCUUGCUAAAUUCUACCUGGCAGCUCACUGCCACCCACUGCCCCAGGAGCUUUGAUGAUGAUUUUAAAAAUUUAUUUUUGGCUG